This 79-nucleotide transfer RNA is filed under the name Candidatus Micrarchaeota archaeon CG_4_10_14_0_2_um_filter_60_11. RNAcentral describes it as "tRNA-Arg". Lineage: Archaea; Nanobdellati; Microcaldota. The record is from RNAcentral.
GGGCCCGUAGCUCAGCUUGGAUAGAGCGACUGGUUCCGAACCCUUCGCGAGAGGGGCGGGAGUCGAAGCUUCGGUCCCA